This 253-nucleotide unclassified non-coding RNA is filed under the name uncultured Moraxellaceae bacterium. RNAcentral describes it as "contains 16S-23S intergenic spacer region". It matches the Rfam family "Bacterial small subunit ribosomal RNA", at positions 524 to 776 of the family's 1533-position model. Lineage: Bacteria; Pseudomonadati; Pseudomonadota; Gammaproteobacteria; Moraxellales; Moraxellaceae. The record is from RNAcentral.
CACGUAGGAUCCAAGCGUUAAUCGGAUUUACUGGGCGUAAAGCGUGCGUAGGCGGCUUUUUAAGUCGGAUGUGAAAUCCCCGAGCUUAACUUGGGAAUUGCAUUCGAUACUGGGAAGCUAGAGUAUGGGAGAGGAUGGUAGAAUCCCAGGUGUAGCGGUGAAAUGCGUAGAGAUCUGGAGGAAUACCGAUGGCGAAGGCAGCCAUCUGGCCUAAUACUGACGCUGAGGUACGAAAGCGUGGGGAGCAAACAGG